UACGUAGGGUCCAAGCGUUGUCCGGAUUUAUUGGGCGUAAAGAGCUCGUAGGCGGUUCGGUAAGUCGGAUGUGAAAACCCCAGGCUCAACCUGGGGACGCCAUUCGAUACUGCUGUGACUUGAGUUCGGUAGGGGAGCACGGAAUUCCUGGUGUAGCGGUGAAAUGCGCAGAUAUCAGGAGGAACACCGGUGGCGAAGGCGGUGCUCUGGGCCGAAACUGACGCUGAGGAGCGAAAGCGUGGGUAGCAAACAGG
RNAcentral lists this ribosomal RNA (254 nucleotides) under uncultured bacterium. RNAcentral's name for it is "partial 16S ribosomal RNA". It matches the Rfam family "Bacterial small subunit ribosomal RNA", at positions 524 to 776 of the family's 1533-position model. The record is from RNAcentral. RNAcentral also lists the same sequence under 1 other name.